Non-coding RNA from Danio rerio (zebrafish), 688 nucleotides. Lineage: Eukaryota; Metazoa; Chordata; Actinopteri; Cypriniformes; Danionidae. The record is from Ensembl.
GGAUUUUGUUGCGAUGUAAUUGUUUGACAGCACUACUAGACAUUCUUAAACAUUUUACUUGAGAAGCAAAAACAUUUUAGCUUAAUAAAUGCAAAUUAAAUUCUAUUAUUUAUUUUUUGUAAGAAUUUAAUAAAAACGUUGGCCAGAGUUUUCAAUUUUACAAAGGUUUACUACAGUCGUUUUGCUUUCUUCAUGCUCUGUAUAAUAGCAAUCAUACGUGGUGCUGCUUCUCAAUGUCUUUACACAGAUAAAGAUGCAGAUUAAGAGAAUGAUUGUGUUUUUAACGCUAUAGUAGAUGAUCUUGAGUGCGUUCACAGCGGUCGUGGACAUUUAACACAAACUCUAGCCAGAGUGAAGGAUGCUGGGAUAUGAAGUGACGUCUGCUGGGAUUAUAGGAUGGAUGUUUGCCGGCAGGAUCUAGAAUCAUCUGUAGUUUCCCAGUUUUUCUGCUCUCUCUGGAUUCUUUGCACCUCUGCACUUUGGGUUUUGUUCUUCUUGUAAAGUCAUGCUGGAGCGGAUGCAGUUCAGUGUUUGUGCGUCAGGCGUCAGUGAUGAACAUGAAUCUCCUGCUGAUGUUCAGAGGGUGUGAGAGUCAACAGCCAAUCAGAAUCUGCUAUUCCGGCUCCUCCCUCUGCUAAAACCAGUUAAACUGCAGCAUCCACCUAUUAAACGCUCGCAGGAAGUGCUU